GAGUGCAGAAGGGGAGAGUGGAAUUCCAUGUGUAGCGGUGAAAUGCGUAGAUAUAUGGAGGAACACCAGUGGCGAAAGCGGCUNUCUGGUCUGUCACUGACGCUGAGGCUNGAAAGCGUGGGUAGCGAACAGGAUUAGAUACCCUGGUAGUCCACGCCGUAAACGAUGAGUGCUAGGUGUUAGGCCCUUUCCGGGGCUUAGUGCCGGAGCUAACGCAAUAAGCACUCCGCCUGGGGAGUACGACCGCAAGGUUGAAACUCAAAGGAAUUGACGGGGGCCCGCACAAGCGGUGGAGCAUGUGGUUUAAUUCGAAGCAACGCGAAGAACCUUACCAGGUCUUGACAUCCCGAUGCUAUUCUUAGAGAUAGGAAGUUACUUCGGUACAUCGGAGACAGGUGGUGCAUGGUUGUCGUCAGCUCGUGUCGUGAGAUGUUGGGUUAAGUCCCGCAACGAGCGCAACCCUUAUUGUUAGUUGCCAUCAUUAAGUUGGGCACUCUAGCGAGACUGCCGGUAAUAAACCGGAGGAAGGUGGGGAUGACGUCAAAUCAUCAUGCCCCUUAUGACCUGGGCUACACACGUGCUACAAUGGUCGGUACAACGAGUUGCGAGCCGGUGACGGCAAGCUAAUCUNUGAAAGCCGAUCUCAGUUCGGAUUGGAGGCUGCAACUCGCCUCCAUGAAGUCGGAAUCGCUAGUAAUCGCGGAUCAGCACGCCGCGGUGAAUACGUUCCCGGGCCUUGUACACACCGCCCNUCACACCACGAGAGUUUGUAACACCNGAA
This 781-nucleotide ribosomal RNA is filed under the name uncultured bacterium. RNAcentral describes it as "bacterial SSU rRNA". It matches the Rfam family "Bacterial small subunit ribosomal RNA", at positions 644 to 1425 of the family's 1533-position model. The record is from RNAcentral.